GGGUUGGUAGUAGGGGAGGGGCUGGCUGGUAUAAGGGGCAGCCCUGCUAGCCAGUGGCAAGGUUCAUUGCUGGCUCUUGUUAUUGCCAAGGUCCCUGUCUGGCUGUAAGGGGGCAGGGGAGGGGGCAGGGCAGGGUUGGGGGCCCAGGGUUUGGGGAUUCCCUUCACUCCCUCUAGGGGUGUCUGGCUCCAUCCCCAGAGGUGGGACCCGGGGCCCCAUGCCAGUGUCGCAGCCAUGGCCCUGCUGGGUCCCUCCUUACCUUACUGCAAAUCUUCCUAGACGUGGAACCUGCCCAGGACGGAGCCGACCCUGCCAGCCCAGCCAGGGAUCUGAACCUGAUCUUGGGCAUCUCGGUGCCCUGUGCCCUGCUGCUGGGGCUGCUGGGGCUGCACAGGGUGGCAUCAUCCUGGCGAAGACCCAGGGAGCCGGGCCCCGCUGGCGGCGAGGCUGGCGUCGGUGAUCGUUACGCUGGCCGUGGUGGUGGUGGACACACUGAGGAGCAGCUGCACUAUGCUGCCAUUGGCCAGUUCUGCAGCCCCAGGAUGCUGCCCCCCAAGACCGAGGACCCGGUGACAUACGCGGUGCUGAAGUGAGCUUGCGCUGCUGCCCGCCCAUACGAGGAGUCGGGAUGCAGAGGGGACGCCCCACUUCUGAAGGGCACCAGGACUCUCGGGCGCAGUGGCUGAUGCUGGGGGGCAGAGAGGGCACUGGCUGGGUACGGGGACCACGCAGGAGCUUGGGAGUCCCCAGGAAAGCCACUCUGGCCUCUUGCUCACCUCUCAAUCAAGGUGUGGUCCUGGAAUGACCCCCCAGCCCUGCGGCUGGGCUCUGAACACUGCUCAGCCGCCCCAGGAGAGGAGUGGGCACCUGCCCUGCUGCCCCUUGGAGCUCGGGGGAGCUGGCAGGGUGCGACCCACUCCCAGGUUCCCCCUGCAGCCUCUCCCCAUCAGUGCCCUCCCACGGCCCUUGCACCAGGCUCUUCAGCAGCUUGAGAGCCAGGCGCUCCUGACCCAGCCAGGUAGCAAUGGCCGGGGUCGCUGGGUUAAUAAAACAAGCUGCUUCCUGCUGCAAUGACCAAACCAACCAGGCCACCUCCCUGUGUCCAUCUGUCUGUGUCUGGGGGCUGAGCUCACUCCCUGCAGCACAGCGCCCCCUACUAAGUCCCCCCACUCCCUCCGUCCCCUAGUGUCACCCACCCACUGGCGAGCUGGCCCAGGAUUCCUGCAUCUCUUUGUUUUAUCCUCCAUUUUCAGGAAAAUGAGACCAACUUUUAAAA
Long non-coding RNA from Dermochelys coriacea (leatherback sea turtle), 1276 nucleotides. RefSeq lists it as uncharacterized. The record is from RefSeq and is a predicted model, not a curated record. Lineage: Eukaryota; Metazoa; Chordata; Testudines; Dermochelyidae. The transcript is spliced from 7 exons.